This 415-nucleotide ribosomal RNA is filed under the name uncultured bacterium. RNAcentral describes it as "bacterial SSU rRNA". It matches the Rfam family "Bacterial small subunit ribosomal RNA", at positions 917 to 1394 of the family's 1533-position model. The record is from RNAcentral.
GGGCCCGCACAAGCGGUGGAGCAUGUGGUUUAAUUCGAUGAUACGCGAGGAACCUUACCAGGGCUUAAAUGUAGUGGGACAGGUCUAGAGAUAGACCCUUCUUCGGACUCAUUACAAGGUGCUGCAUGGUUGUCGUCAGCUCGUGCCGUGAGGUGUCAGGUUAAGUCCUAUAACGAGCGCAACCCCUAUCGUUAGUUGCCAGCGAGUAAUGUCGGGAACUCUAACGAAACUGCCAGUGCAAACUGUGAGGAAGGUGGGGAUGACGUCAAAUCAUCACGGCCCUUACGUCCUGGGCUACACACGUGCUACAAUGGCCGGUACAGAGAGCAGCCACUUCGCAAGAAGGAGCGAAUCGCUAGUAAUCGCGUAACAGCAUGACGCGGUGAAUACGUUCCCGGGCCUUGUACACACCGCC